UUAAUUAUUAUAUAGUGCUCAGACAACAUAAUAUAAGAAGUAUUAGGUCCUCUGGCAGGCACAAACCAGCCAAAGCCAGCAGUCUCAAUAGACAGGCCCACCAAAGCAACAGAAGGUAUGUAAACAAAGGGUGGGAGAUAUACCCCAAAGGGCAUGUUCUCUGUAAUGAUCCUUCCGCAGGUUCACCUACGGAAA
Molecule: unclassified non-coding RNA, 195 nt
Filed under: uncultured fungus
Lineage: Eukaryota; Fungi
Description: sequence contains ITS1
Source: RNAcentral